UUGGAGGGCAAGUCUGGUGCCAGCAGCCGCGGUAAUUCCAGCUCCAAUAGCGUAUAUUAAAGUUGUUGCAGUUAAAAAGCUCGUAGUUGAAUUUCGGGAUCAAUAUAUUGGUCAUGCUUAGGUAUGUACUGGUAUUAUUGAUUUCUCCCUUCUGAAGAACCAUAAUGUCAUUAAUUUGAUGUCAUGGGGAAUCAGGACUGUUACUUUGAAAAAAUUAGAGUGUUUAAAGCAGGCUUUCGCUUGAAUACAUUAGCAUGGAAUAAUGAAAUAGGACGUUUGAUUCUAUUUUGUUGGUUUCUAGGAUCGACGUAAUGAUUAAUAGGGAUAGUUGGGGGCAUUAGUAUUCAAUUGUCAGAGGUGAAAUUCUUGGAUUUAUUGAAGACUAACUACUGCGAAAGCAUUUGCCAAGGAUGUUUUCAUUAAUCAAGAACGAAAGUUAGGGGAUCGAAGACGAUCAGAUACCGUCGUAGUCUUAACCAUAAACUAUGCCGACUAGGGAUCGGAUGAUGUUAACUUUUUAAUGACUCAUUCGGCGCCUUACGGGAAACCAAAGUGUUUGGGUU
This 563-nucleotide ribosomal RNA is filed under the name Glomeromycotina sp. RNAcentral's name for it is "SSU rRNA". It matches the Rfam family "Eukaryotic small subunit ribosomal RNA", at positions 548 to 1113 of the family's 1831-position model. The record is from RNAcentral. Lineage: Eukaryota; Fungi; Glomeromycota.